RNAcentral lists this long non-coding RNA (305 nucleotides) under Homo sapiens (human). RNAcentral describes it as "HSALNT0300338". Lineage: Eukaryota; Metazoa; Chordata; Mammalia; Primates; Hominidae. The record is from RNAcentral.
CUAGUGAAAGGUAUCUCAAUUCAGAGGUACCCGAAUUAGAGGUACCCACUUAUGGGUGGGUAAAUUACUGCAAGAGAAGGAAUGCUCUCCGACUGGAAAAAGCCUAACAGACGGCAGAUCAAGGAAGUCACUCGCCAUCUGUGAGGGAGGCAGCGGAGCCCCAGAGGCACUGGGGAGAGGCAGCUGGGCCUCGAGCUUGUGGUUGCAGAUUGGAGCUGGCCAGGGCAGAGAUGCUGUGCUGAGAUGGAAGCGGUGGCAGCUGAAACCUGGAUAAUUAGAGCCGGCCGAACACCUUUUGACAAGGA